RNAcentral lists this unclassified non-coding RNA (273 nucleotides) under Hevea brasiliensis (rubber tree). Lineage: Eukaryota; Viridiplantae; Streptophyta; Magnoliopsida; Malpighiales; Euphorbiaceae. The record is from RNAcentral.
CAAAAAGGAAGGUUUUGGGGUUACCUCCGCCUGUUCAUCUCCAGUUCCAAGUUGUCCAAACUGAUUCCCACCAAAAGCAUAUACACGGCCAUUUGCAGUGAUACAAACAGUAUGCCAUAGUCCAGCAGCAACUCUUUCUACUUGAAUUUCCGAUAAAGAAAGCACACAAGUAGGCCUCAGCUGAUCAUUUGUGCUUCCUUGCCCACACUGUCCAUAGAGUCCCCAUCCAAAUGUAAAUAGUGCUCCUGUUACUACAGCACUAUGGCGACCUCC